Molecule: long non-coding RNA, 631 nt
Organism: Lagopus leucura (white-tailed ptarmigan)
Lineage: Eukaryota; Metazoa; Chordata; Aves; Galliformes; Phasianidae
Exons: 4
Source: RefSeq, a predicted model, not a curated record
CUUUUCUCUCAUUACUGGGAGAACUCUCUCCUUACUCCAACAGCUAUUUCAUGACUUUCUGCUGGCUCUGGGGUCUGAUGGUGUGGUGGGAAAGGUGAUUGUCAAUGUGGUUAUGCUGUUGGCAGAAUAUGCCCUCCCUAGCAUGGAGUGCUGCAUGGGUGAGAACUGCAACUUAACUGGAUGAGUCUCUUGACUUGUGAACAGCCAGUAAGAUUCCAUAAUCUUUAUGUGCUUCUGGGAGCUGAAUGAAAGCACCAGGUGUACAUCAUCGUACAGCUGAAAGACCUGAGGAUUGAGCGCGAAUGACCUCUUUGGGGUGGAUAGCAACACCAAGACAGUCACAAUGAGGCCUAUUAAGAGAACAUCUUCUGGAACACAGCAGCUCUGGGACUUGACUCUGUGGCCACUGUAAUGGUAAAUGUAUCCUGCUGUCUCAUGACUAUUUUGGAAAAUGCUACAAAAAUUCCAUGCUUUUGGGGUGUUUUGUUGUGCAUAUACUAAGAACAGCUGAAGAAACAGAUUAAUAAUUACAAACAUGAACUAAAGCCUGAAAAUUCCCCUAUUUCCUUCAAUUUAAACAUGUUACCAUGUACUGAGGAAUUAAGAGGAACUCUCAUAUGUGUUAAAUAAA